CCUACGGGAGGCAGCAGUGAGGAAUAUUGGUCAAUGGACGAGAGUCUGAACCAGCCAAGUAGCGUGAAGGAUGACUGCCCUAUGGGUUGUAAACUUCUUUUAUAUGGGAAUAAAACGUUCCACGUGUGGGAUUUUGUAUGUACCAUAUGAAUAAGGAUCGGCUAACUCCGUGCCAGCAGCCGCGGUAAUACGGAGGAUCCGAGCGUUAUCCGGAUUUAUUGGGUUUAAAGGGAGCGUAGGUGGAUUGUUAAGUCCGUUGUGAAAGUUUGCGGCUCAACCGUAAAAUUGCAGUUGAAACUGGCAGUCUUGAGUACAGUAGAGGUGGGCGGAAUUCGUGGUGUAGCGGUGAAAUGCUUAGAUAUCACGAAGAACUCCGGUUGCGAAGGCAGUUCACUGGACUGCAACUGACACUGAGGCUCGAAAGUGUGGGUAUCAAACAGGAUUAGAUACCCUUGUAGUC
Molecule: ribosomal RNA, 460 nt
Filed under: uncultured bacterium
Lineage: Bacteria
Description: partial 16S ribosomal RNA
Rfam family: Bacterial small subunit ribosomal RNA
Source: RNAcentral